This 499-nucleotide ribosomal RNA is filed under the name uncultured Rubrobacterales bacterium. RNAcentral's name for it is "bacterial SSU rRNA". It matches the Rfam family "Bacterial small subunit ribosomal RNA", at positions 8 to 491 of the family's 1533-position model. The record is from RNAcentral. Lineage: Bacteria; Bacillati; Actinomycetota; Rubrobacteria; Rubrobacterales.
AGAGUUUGAUCAUGGCUCAGAGCGAACGCUGGCGGCGUGCCUAACACAUGCAAGUCGAGCGAACCGUUUGGGGCAACUUGAACGGUUAGCGGCGGACGGGUGAGUAACACGUGGGUAACCCACCUGGGCGACCGGGAUAACGGCUCGAAAGGGCCGCUAAUACCGGAUACGCUCCCUGGGGCACAAGCCUCGGGGAGGAAAGGUCGCGCAAGCAACCACUCCCAGACGGGCCCGCGGCCCAUUAGCUAGUUGGCGGGGUAACGGCCCACCAAGGCAAUGAUGGGUAGCCGGUCUGAGAGGAUGACCGGCCACACGGGGACUGAGACACGGCCCCGACUCCUACGGGAGGCAGCAGUGGGGAAUCUUCCGCAAUGGGCGAAAGCCUGACGGAGCGACGCCGCGUGGGGGACGAAGGCCUUCGGGUCGUAAACCCCUGUCAGAGGGAAAGAAGGGUGCCGGCGUAAAUAGCGCCGGUAUUUGACGGUACCCUCAGAGAAGC